GACAGAGGUGCCAAGCGUUAGGCGGAAUCACUGGGCUUAAAGCGUGUGUAGGCGGACUUGUAAGUACCUUGUGAAAUCCCACGGCUCAACCGUGGAACUGCUCGGUAUACUGCUUGUCUUGAGCCACUUAGGGGCUGUCGGAACAAACGGUGGAGCGGUGAAAUGCGUAGAUAUCGGAAGGAACAUCAGUGGCGAAAGCGACUUCCUGGACCAAUACUGACGCUCAUGUGCGAAAGCGUGGGGAGCAAACAGG
RNAcentral lists this ribosomal RNA (253 nucleotides) under uncultured bacterium. RNAcentral describes it as "partial 16S ribosomal RNA". It matches the Rfam family "Bacterial small subunit ribosomal RNA", at positions 524 to 776 of the family's 1533-position model. The record is from RNAcentral.